RNAcentral lists this long non-coding RNA (388 nucleotides) under Pan troglodytes (chimpanzee). RNAcentral describes it as "long non-coding RNA NONPTRT014067". Lineage: Eukaryota; Metazoa; Chordata; Mammalia; Primates; Hominidae. The record is from RNAcentral.
CCAUAGAUAUAUAUAUAUGCCAUACAUAUAUAUCCCAUAGAUAUAUGUAUAUUCCAUAUAUAUCCCAUAGAUAUAUAUAUACCAUAGAUAUAUAUAUCCCAUAUAUAUCCCAUAGAUAUAUAUAUCCCAUAGAUAUAUCCCAUAGAUAUAUAUAUAUCCCAUAGAUAUAUCCCAUAGAUAUAUGUAUAUUCCAUAUAUAUCCCAUAGAUAUAUAUAAUCCCAUAGAUAUAUAUAUCCCAUAUAUAUCCCAUAGAUAUAUAUAUCCCAUAGAUAUAUCCCAUAGAUAUAUAUAGAUCCCAUAGAUAUAUCCCAUAGAUAUGUAUAUCCCAUAGAUAUAUCCCAUAGAUAGAUAUAUCCCAUAGAUAUAUCCCAUAGAUAUAUCCCAUAG